GCCAGGCAUGGUGGCUCAUGCCUGUAAUCCCAGCACUUUGGGAGGCCGAGGCAGGUGGAUCACCUGAGGUCAGGAGUUCAAGACCAGCCUGACCAACAUGGUGAAACCCCGUCUCUA
Pongo abelii (Sumatran orangutan) is the source of this 117-nucleotide unclassified non-coding RNA. It matches the Rfam family "Metazoan signal recognition particle RNA". Rfam says of the family: The signal recognition particle (SRP) is a universally conserved ribonucleoprotein. It is involved in the co-translational targeting of proteins to membranes. The record is from Ensembl. Lineage: Eukaryota; Metazoa; Chordata; Mammalia; Primates; Hominidae.